UUGCGAGGCGACGAUGGCAGGCUCGUGCUCCAAGGCAAAAAGACGCAGAGGGGGCGCGUUGUACAGGGUCGUCGUCUGGAGGCGACGAGACGCGGAUCCGACUGUGGCACGCGGGAAGAAUCCAAGAUAGGCGCCAAAUCCAUUCCUCCGCGGGCGGUGAGGCAGUCAGGCAGCACGCUGGGCGGAUCUGGCCGGCGGGUGGCAAGAUGGUGUGCCGAGCGGAUCCGGCCGGCGGGGAGGUGCCAGCGACAGAAGCUUCUCCGCCGGGCUGUAGUCCCAGUCGUCCGCAUCGCGCGCUACCUCAAGAUGGGCAAGUAUGUCGAGCACAUCGGCGGAGGUGCACCUUGCUACCUCUCCGUCGUCCUUGAGUACCUCGCCGUGGAGGUAAAUGGCUCUGCAACACAUGGGGGAUUGUGGGCAUAACUUUACUGUUACAUAUGCAGAUGCCGGCAUGCUGUUGCUUGACAACUUUUGGCAGUCAAAAAACAUGGUUGUUUAGUUAAUUGGAACAUGCAUGCCAUAGCGAGAUGCAUGGCCGUGUUUUUUUUCCUGAAAAGUUCAGUGAUACAAGUGGCAUAAGGAGACUUAAUUUUGCACUAUGAACUGCCUGUGUACUGAAGUGUUUGUUCUGUUCUUUAGCGCGAAUUAAAAAUGAAUCUUCUAUCUCUA
Panicum virgatum (switchgrass) is the source of this 669-nucleotide long non-coding RNA. RefSeq lists it as uncharacterized. NCBI's taxonomy places the organism in Eukaryota, Viridiplantae, Streptophyta, Magnoliopsida, Poales, Poaceae. The transcript has 2 exons. The record is from RefSeq and is a predicted model, not a curated record.